GAUGAACGCUGGCGGCGUGCCUAAUACAUGCAAGUCGAGCGAACGGACGAGAAGCUUGCUUCUCUGAUGUUAGCGGCGGACGGGUGAGUAACACGUGGAUAACCUACCUAUAAGACUGGGAUAACUUCGGGAAACCGUAGCUAAUACCGGAUAAUAUUUUGAACCGCAUGGUUCAAAAGUGAAAGACGGUCUUGCUGUCACUUAUAGAUGGAUCCGCGCUGCAUUAACUAGUUGGUAAGGUAACGGCUUACCAAGGCAACGAUGCAUAGCCGACCUGAGAGGGUGAUCGGCCACACUGGAACUGAGACACGGUCCAGACUCCUACGGGAGGCAGCAGUAGGGAAUCUUCCGCAAUGGGCGAAAGCCUGACGGAGCAACGCCGCGUGAGUGACGAAGGUCUUCGGAUCGUAAAACUCUGUUAUUAGGGAAGAACAUAUGUGUAAGUAACUGUGCACAUCUUGACGGUACCUAAUCAGAAAGCCACGGCUAACUACGUG
RNAcentral lists this ribosomal RNA (497 nucleotides) under uncultured bacterium. RNAcentral's name for it is "partial 16S ribosomal RNA". It matches the Rfam family "Bacterial small subunit ribosomal RNA", at positions 28 to 507 of the family's 1533-position model. The record is from RNAcentral.